GAUGAACGCUGGCGGCGUGCCUAAUACAUGCGAGUCGAACGAAACUUCUUUAUCACCGAGUGCUUGCACUCACCGAUAAAGAGUUGAGUGGCGAACGGGUGAGUAACACGUGGGCAACCUGCCCAAAAGAGGGGGAUAACACUUGGAAACAGGUGCUAAUACCGCAUAACCAUAGUUACCGCAUGGUAACUAUGUAAAAGGUGGCUAUACUACCGCUUUUGGAUGGGCCCGCGGCGCAUUAGCUAGUUGGUAGGGUAAAGGCUUACCAAGGCAAUGAUGCGUAGCCGAAUUGAGAGGUUGAUCGGCCACAUUGGGACUGAGACACGGCCCAAACUCCUACGGGAGGCAGCAGGAGGGAAUCUUCCACAAUGGGCGAAAGCCUGAUGGAGCAACGCCGCGGGGGUGAAGAAGGUCUUCGGAUCGUAAAACCCUGUUGUUAGAGAAGAAAGUGCGUGAGAGUAACUGUUCACGUUUCGACGGUAUCUAACCAGAAAGCCACGGCUAACUACGU
Molecule: ribosomal RNA, 511 nt
Filed under: uncultured bacterium
Lineage: Bacteria
Description: partial 16S ribosomal RNA
Rfam family: Bacterial small subunit ribosomal RNA
Source: RNAcentral